AUGAGCAGCUGGUUUGCAGCAAAACCGCACCUCACUCUGCACCUUUGGAUCCCUCUCAGCCUGAGGUUAGCACAGCCAAUGUCCUCACCAGCGUCUGCCAAAGCCCAUGGAGAAGGCCAGCAGGAGCAUAUCACUGUGACUUACAACCCUUCUCUAGUCUGCUACAAUGGAAUCUUAAACAAGAAAAUUUUAUAUUUUGACUUGCAUCAUUGAGAAAAACACUGCCAACCUGAUCGUGGUUCCUUUGAAGAGCAUGGAAGGAAGCAAUGAAAAAAG
RNAcentral lists this long non-coding RNA (276 nucleotides) under Homo sapiens (human). RNAcentral's name for it is "non-protein coding lnc-CCDC184-1:1". The record is from RNAcentral. Lineage: Eukaryota; Metazoa; Chordata; Mammalia; Primates; Hominidae.